Molecule: long non-coding RNA, 451 nt
Filed under: Mus spretus (western wild mouse)
Lineage: Eukaryota; Metazoa; Chordata; Mammalia; Rodentia; Muridae
Description: predicted gene 29347 (ENSMSPG00010016934.1)
Source: RNAcentral
UAUCUGCCACAAUGACCAUGUGGAUCCCAGAAAACAAUCUUGUGGAGUCAGUUCCUCUCCUCCAUCCUUCUUUGGAUUCAACUCAGGUCUCCAGGCUCACGUGGAUGGCAGAUGAGUCUAGACCAUGCAAAUGCCAGGAGAAGAGCCAAAAGGCAAAAUAUCUCCGUGCCAUCUCACACACCGAGAGCCCCCCCCAGAAGCCUCUGGGUUUCAUUUCCUCCAUCAGGAGCUCAGAUAACAGCAGCAGAGACAAUCACACACGAGUUAAGAAUGCAAAUACAGUUCUCAUUCCUUCUUAUGCUUUCUGUGCUGCUGGGGAUUGAACUCGGGACCUGUAAUAUCCCACACAGAUACUCUCUACUACUGAAUUACAUCUUCAGCCUGACAUUUUAAGGAAAAACACGGAGAAAAAUGGUAUCAUAUUGAAUAAAUCCUGGCUCUUCAAAACAAA